RNAcentral lists this ribosomal RNA (743 nucleotides) under Ramaria sp. RNAcentral describes it as "LSU rRNA". It matches the Rfam family "Eukaryotic large subunit ribosomal RNA", at positions 200 to 929 of the family's 3401-position model. Lineage: Eukaryota; Fungi; Basidiomycota; Agaricomycetes; Gomphales; Gomphaceae. The record is from RNAcentral.
GCGUCGUAGAGGGUGAGAAUCCCGUCUUUGACACGGACUGCCGAUGCUUUGUGAUGCGCUCUCGAAGAGUCGAGUUGUUUGGGAAUGCAGCUCAAAACGGGUGGUAAAUUCCAUCUAAAGCUAAAUAUUGGCRAAAGACCGAUAGCGAACAAGUACCGUGAGGGAAAGAUGAAAAGCACUUUGGAAAGAGAGUUAAACAGUACGUGAAAUUGUUGAAAGGGAAACGCUUGAAGUCAGUCGCGUCUUCCGGGACUCAGCCUUGCUUUGGCUCGGCGUACUUCCUGGGGUGACGGGCCAGCAUCGAUUUCGAUCGUCGGAGAAAGGCCUUGGGAACGUGGCACCUUCGGGUGUGUUAUAGCCCUCGGUCGUAUGCGACGGUUGGGAUCGAGGACCGCAGCACGCCUUUUUGGCCGGGGUUCGCCCACGUACGUGCUUAGGAUGCUGGCGUAAUGGCUUUAAGCGACCCGUCUUGAAACACGGACCAAGGAGUCUAACAUGCCUGCGAGUGUUUGGGUGGCAAACCCGGACGCGGAAUGAAAGUGAAAGGUCGGGACCUCUGUCGUGGAGGGCACCGACGCCCGGACCAGACCUUCUGUGACGGUUCCGAGGUAGAGCACGCAUGCUGGGACCCGAAAGAUGGUGAACUAUGCCUGAGUAGGGUGAAGCCAGAGGAAACUCUGGUGGAGGCUCGUAGCGAUUCUGACGUGCAAAUCGAUCGUCGAACUUGAGUAUAGGGGCGAAAG